AGGGAACGCUGGCGGUAGGCCUAACACAUGCAAGUCGAACGGCAGCACAGGAGAGCUUGCUCUCUGGGUGGCGAGUGGCGGACGGGUGAGGAAUACAUCGGAAUCUACUCUGUCGUGGGGGAUAACGUAGGGAAACUUACGCUAAUACCGCAUACGACCUACGGGUGAAGGCAGGGGAUCUUCGGACCCUGCGCGAUUGAAUGAGCCGAUGUCGGAUUAGCUAGUUGGCGGGGUAAAGGCCCACCAAGGCGACGAUCCGUAGCUGGUCUGAGAGGAUGAUCAGCCACACUGGAACUGAGACACGGUCCAGACUCCUACGGGAGGCAGCAGUGGGGAAUAUUGGACAAUGGGCGCAAGCCUGAUCCAGCCAUACCGCGUGGGUGAAGAAGGCCUUCGGGUUGUAAAGCCCUUUUGUUGGGAAAGAAAUCCAGCUGGCUAAUACCCGGUUGGGAUGACGGUACCCAAAGAAUAAGCACCGGCUAACUUCGUGCCAGCCGCCGCAGUAA
This 506-nucleotide ribosomal RNA is filed under the name uncultured bacterium. Its description in RNAcentral is "partial 16S ribosomal RNA". It matches the Rfam family "Bacterial small subunit ribosomal RNA", at positions 31 to 523 of the family's 1533-position model. The record is from RNAcentral.